UACGAAGGAUCCAAGCGUUAUCCGGAUUUAUUGGGUUUAAAGGGUGCGUAGGCGGGCUAUUAAGUCAGUGGUGAAAGCCCCAAGCUUAACUUGGGAACUGCCAUUGAUACUGAUGGUCUUGAGUACACUUGAGGUGGGCGGAAUGUGUCAUGUAGCGGUGAAAUGCUUAGAUAUGACACAGAACACCGAUUGCGAAGGCAGCUCACUAAACUGUAACUGACGCUGAGGCACGAAAGCGUGGGGAGCAAACAGG
This 253-nucleotide ribosomal RNA is filed under the name uncultured bacterium. RNAcentral describes it as "partial 16S ribosomal RNA". It matches the Rfam family "Bacterial small subunit ribosomal RNA", at positions 524 to 776 of the family's 1533-position model. The record is from RNAcentral.